CUCCCUGGCUGCCUGGGCCGCUGGCCCCGCCCACACCUCCCACCAGGAAGAAGUUUCUCCAGCCUCAUCACCCAGCCCUAUCCUCCCCUCCAGUCCCUCUCCCUGGCCCCUCAUCACCAUGCUGGAGUUUCCCUGCACCUCAGCUUCCAGGGCAGCUCCCUACCCCCACCCCUGGGGGCCAGCUGCUUCCAGGGCUAGGCCCAGAGGUCUUUCUCCACCUCUGUCCCCUGGCCCCUCUCACUCCCCUAGCCCCAGUGGUCCAAGUUCAAGCUUCCAGCCAGAAGAGAGAUUCUAUCUUCCUUCCCUGACCCAGAGGGACUUCCUUGUGGAACUGGGGGGUUCUUGGAGUGGGGGGGCUCUGGGGCAGCUUUACAUUCCCCAUGCGAGCAGUCCCCACACCUAGCCACCUCUCCAGAGAAGAGUGGGCCUUGACCCAGGACAGCUAGGAUGAAGACACCAGCUCAAGGAUGUGGGGUGGGUGGCUGGGAAGCACCCUGCUGAGUUGAGGACGGCCCCCAUGAAACCUCCACCACCACCACCGGGCAUAGUCCCACGACUACCCCCUGCCCGCUGCGCCCCAGACGCAAGCAGAGGUGACGCAUUCAGGACUGGCCCGCCAGCCAGAGACGCCCUCUCACAGGCGGUUCCCAAGUGCUGAGGAAGGUGAUGACCACACCCCAGAGAUCCACACACUCCUCCACCUCCACAGCUUCGCCCCAACCUCUCAAACGAGCUCCUCAGGCUUGGGGUGGCGUGCUCGGCCAGGGCCAGCCAGCCCAUUCCAACUGAGCCUAGGAAUCCAGGUCUCCCAGGAGUCAUUCUUUUGGGUCCCACUUUGAGCCCUGGACCUGCAGUCACAUUCCCCUCAACUGGCUGACUCUGCUCCGUGGGUGGGAGGGGAGCCAACCAGAGUCUGGCUGGUUCAAGUCCUCAGCUCUUCACAAACUUGCCCCGACAAGGACCCCCGAAUCACUGCUUCGGGGCCCCCCAGCAUCAGCAGUAAGCCCCACCUAUGUGGCUUCUUAUGUGUCCUGGCUUCCUGAACAAUGUCGCUGCGUAUAACCUUCAAGGACAAGGCUUUGGGGAGGGCCACAGACACCCUCCGAUCCCCGUUGCCAAUACUCCAGACCCUUCGUCCUCUGCUAGCCCACCUCUCAUGCCCCCACCCCCCUUCCCGUCCUCUCCCCCCCACCUCACCCCUCAGCUGCGGGCUCCCUUCUCUCCCCACUGGGCAUACACACCCGAAUCAAGGGCUAGCCCAACCCAUCAUCCUUGGGGGCCAACGAGAAGGAAGCUUCCCCAAUGAGCUUCAGAAAGGAAGUGAGUGCCACACCCUGCCCCAGGGAUUUCCCUCCUGGGGGCAGAAGAGACAGAGCACCAAAGGAGAAUCUUACUCCCCGAAUUUAGACCCAGCCCUGGUG
This is a long non-coding RNA of Bos taurus (domestic cattle), 1421 nucleotides long. Lineage: Eukaryota; Metazoa; Chordata; Mammalia; Artiodactyla; Bovidae. The record is from Ensembl.